Molecule: ribosomal RNA, 500 nt
Filed under: uncultured bacterium
Lineage: Bacteria
Description: partial 16S ribosomal RNA
Rfam family: Bacterial small subunit ribosomal RNA
Source: RNAcentral
AUUGAACGCUGGCGGCAUGCCUUACACAUGCAAGUCGAACGGCAGCACGGGAGCAAUCCUGGUGGCGAGUGGCGAACGGGUGAGUAAAGUAUCGGAACGUGCCCAGUCGUGGGGGAUAACGGAGCGAAAGUUACGCUAAUACCGCAUACGAUCUAUGGAUGAAAGCGGGGGAUCGCAAGACCUCGCGCGAUUGGAGCGGCCGAUAUCAGAUUAGGUAGUUGGUGGGGUAAAGGCUCACCAAGCCGACGAUCUGUAGCUGGUCUGAGAGGACGACCAGCCACACUGGGACUGAGACACGGCCCAGACUCCCACGGGAGGCAGCAGUGGGGAAUUUUGGACAAUGGGCGAAAGCCUGAUCCAGCCAUGCCGCGUGCAGGAUGAAGGCCUUCGGGUUGUAAACUGCUUUUGUACGGAACGAAAAGGUUUGGCCUAAUAAGCUGAGCUCAUGACGGUACCGUAAGAAUAAGCACCGGCUAACUACGUGCCAGCAGCCGCAGUAA